RNAcentral lists this ribosomal RNA (511 nucleotides) under uncultured bacterium. RNAcentral describes it as "bacterial SSU rRNA". It matches the Rfam family "Bacterial small subunit ribosomal RNA", at positions 8 to 518 of the family's 1533-position model. The record is from RNAcentral.
AGAGUUUGAUUCUGGCUCAGGAUGAACGCUGGCGGCGUGCCUAACACAUGCAAGUCGAACGAAGCACUUAGACAGAACCUUCGGGUGACGUAUUGGUGACUGAGUGGCGGACGGGUGAGUAACGCGUGGGUAACCUGCCCUGUACAGGGGGAUAACAGUUAGAAAUGACUGCUAAUACCGCAUAAGCGCACGAUGGUAGCAUUACCAGGUGUGAAAAAACUCCGGUGGUACAGGAUGGGCCCGCGCCUGAUUAGCUAGUUGGCGGGGUAAGAGCCCACCAAGGCGACGAUCAGUAGCCGGUCUGAGAGGAUGAACGGCCACAUUGGAACUGAGACACGGUCCAAACUCCUACGGGAGGCAGCAGUGGGGAAUAUUGCACAAUGGGGGGAACCCUGAUGCAGCCAACGCCGCGUGAGUGACGAAGUAUUUCGGUAUGUAAAGCUCUAUCAGCAGGGAAGAUAAUGACGGUACCUGACUAAGAAGCUCCGGCUAAAUACGUGCCAGCCGCUGC